AAUGAACGUUGGCGGCGUGGAUUAGGCAUGCAAGUCGAGCGAGAACCGUAGCAAUACGGGGACAGCGGCGAAAGGGACAGUAAUGUGUAGGUACCUACCCCCGGGUUCGGGAUAGCUGCGGGAAACUGCAGGUAAUACCGAAUAAUGUCUUCGGACCACAGGUGUGAUUCCACCUGGGGAGGGGCCUGCAUCCUAUUAGCUUGUUGGUGGGGUAACGGCUUACCAAGGCGAUGAUGGGUAGCGGGUGUGAGAGCAUGACCCGCGUCAUUGGGACUGAGACACUGCCCAGACACCUACGGGUGGCUGCAGUCAAGGAUCUUCGGCAAUGGGCGCAAGCCUGACCGAGCGACGCCGCGUGCGGGAUGAAGGCCUUCGGGUUGUAAACCGCUGUCGUAGAGGAGGAAAUGCAGGAGGGUUCUCCCUUCUGUUUGACCUAUUCUAGGAGGAAGUACGGGCUAAGUUCGUGCCAGCAGCCGCGGUAA
This 482-nucleotide ribosomal RNA is filed under the name uncultured bacterium. RNAcentral describes it as "partial 16S ribosomal RNA". It matches the Rfam family "Bacterial small subunit ribosomal RNA", at positions 29 to 523 of the family's 1533-position model. The record is from RNAcentral.